GGUGGCUCAGCUGUAGAGUGCUUGCCUUGCAUGCAUGAGGCCCUGGGUUCAAUUCCUCAGCACCA
Molecule: transfer RNA, 65 nt
Filed under: Dipodomys ordii (Ord's kangaroo rat)
Lineage: Eukaryota; Metazoa; Chordata; Mammalia; Rodentia; Heteromyidae
Rfam family: tRNA
About the family: Transfer RNA (tRNA) molecules are approximately 80 nucleotides in length. Their secondary structure includes four short double-helical elements and three loops (D, anti-codon, and T loops).
Source: Rfam by way of RNAcentral